GGUUGUAGCUGGGGACAGGGAUUGUGUUUCGGCCACAAAUUGGGAGAGGUUGAUCUUCUGUCAAAG
RNAcentral lists this transfer RNA (66 nucleotides) under Paramphistomum cervi. RNAcentral describes it as "tRNA-Arg". The record is from RNAcentral. Lineage: Eukaryota; Metazoa; Platyhelminthes; Trematoda; Plagiorchiida; Paramphistomidae.